ACUGCUCAGUAACACGUGGGUAACCUGCCCCGAUGACCGGGACAACCCGAGGAAACUCGGGCUAAUACCGGAUGUGGCGCACAGGCUCAAGCCUGUUCGCUAAAGGAAGCUUCGGCCUCCGCAUUGGGAGGGGCCCGCGGCCCAUUAGCUUGUUGGUGGGGUCACGGCCUACCAAGGCGACGAUGGGUAGCUGGUCUGAGAGGACGAUCAGCCACACUGGGACUGAGACACGGCCCAGACUCCUACGGGAGGCAGCAGUGGGGAAUCUUGCGCAAUGCGCGAAAGCGUGACGCAGCAACGCCGCGUGGGGGAAGACGGCCUUCGGGUUGUAAACCCCUUUCAGGAGGGACGAAGGUUCGCCGGUUAAUAGCCGUGCGGAUUGACGGUACCUCCAGAAGAAGCUCCGGCUAACUACGUGCCAGCAGCCGCGGUAAUACGUAGGGGGCAAGCGUUGUCCGGAAUCAUUGGGCGUAAAGCGCGCGUAGGCGGCCUUGUAAGUCCGUUGUGAAAGUCAAAGGCUCAACCUUUGAAAGCCGAUGGAUACUGCAAGGCUAGAGUCCGGAAGAGGCGAGUGGAAUUCCUGGUGUAGCGGUGGAAUGCGCAGAUAUCAGGAGGAACACCAAUAGCGAAGGCAGCUCGCUGGGACGGAACUGACGCUAAGGCGCGAAAGCGUGGGGAGCGAACAGGAUUAGAUACCCUGGUAGUCCACGCCGUAAACGAUGGGCACUAGGUGUGGGAGGUGUCGACUCCUCCCGUGCCGUCGCUAACGCACUAAGUGCCCCGCCUGGGGAGUACGGCCGCAAGGCUAAAACUCAAAGGAAUUGGCGGGGGAGCAC
Molecule: ribosomal RNA, 836 nt
Filed under: uncultured archaeon
Lineage: Archaea
Description: bacterial SSU rRNA
Rfam family: Bacterial small subunit ribosomal RNA
Source: RNAcentral